RNAcentral lists this ribosomal RNA (732 nucleotides) under uncultured crenarchaeote. RNAcentral describes it as "bacterial SSU rRNA". It matches the Rfam family "Archaeal small subunit ribosomal RNA", at positions 630 to 1351 of the family's 1478-position model. The record is from RNAcentral. Lineage: Archaea; Thermoproteati; Thermoproteota.
GGGUGAAAUCUUAUAAUCCUUGUAGGACCACCAGUGGCGAAAGCGUCAGACUGGAAACGCGCCUGACGGNNUGAAGGGACGAAAGCCAAAGGGGAGCGAACCGGAUUAGAUACCCGGGUAGUCCUGGCCGUAAACGAUGCAUACUAGGCAAUGGUGCGGCCAUGAGCCGCAUCAGUACCGUAGGGAAACCGUUAAGUGUGCCGCCUGGGAAGUACGGUCGCAAGGCUNAAAACUUAAAGGANNAUUGGCNNGGGGGAGCACCACAAGNGGGUGAAGCCUGCGGUUCAAUUGGACUCAACGCCGGGAAACUUACCAGGGGAGACAGCAGAAUGACAGUCAGGUUGACGACCUUACUCGACGAGCUGAGAGGAGGUGCAUGGCCGUCGCCAGUUCGUGCUGUGAGGUAUCCUGUUAAGUCAGGCAACGAACGAGAUCCGCGCCUUUAUUUGCCAUCAAGAAGUCACGACUUCGUUGGGAACACUAAAGGGACCGCCGUCGAUAAGACGGAGGAAGGAGCGGGCAAAGGCAGGUCAGUAUGCCCCGAAACCCCUGGGCUACACGCGGGCUGCAAUGGUGCGAACAAUGGGCUGUAACUCCGAAAGGAGAAACCAAUCCCGAAAUCGCAUCUCAGUGGGGAUUGUCGACUGUAACUCGUUGACAUGAACGUGGAAUCCCUAGUAAUCGCGUGUCACCAUCGCGCGGUGAACGUCUUGCUCGUUGCACACACCGCCC